GGGGGCGUAGUUUAAUGGUAGAAUAACGGUCUCCAAAACCGUUGAUGGGAGUUCGAUUCUCUCCGCCCCUG
RNAcentral lists this transfer RNA (71 nucleotides) under Candidatus Nealsoniibacteriota bacterium. RNAcentral describes it as "Candidatus Nealsonbacteria bacterium tRNA-Trp". It matches the Rfam family "tRNA". Rfam says of the family: Transfer RNA (tRNA) molecules are approximately 80 nucleotides in length. Their secondary structure includes four short double-helical elements and three loops (D, anti-codon, and T loops). Further hydrogen bonds mediate the characteristic L-shaped molecular structure. tRNAs have two regions of fundamental functional importance: the anti-codon, which is responsible for specific mRNA codon recognition, and the 3' end, to which the tRNAs corresponding amino acid is attached (by aminoacyl-tRNA synthetases). tRNAs cope with the degeneracy of the genetic code in two manners: having more than one tRNA (with a specific anti-codon) for a particular amino acid; and 'wobble' base-pairing, i.e. permitting non-standard base-pairing at the 3rd anti-codon position. The record is from RNAcentral. Lineage: Bacteria; Candidatus Nealsoniibacteriota.